UACGAGGGGGGCAAAUGUUGUUCGGAAUCACUGGGCGUAAAGGGAGCGUAGGCGGGUUUCUAAGUCAGGUGUUUAAUCCCGGGGCCCAACCCCGGACAGGCACUUGAAACUGGGAAUCUUGAAUAGUGGAGAGGUCAGUGGAAUUGGGGUGUAGCGGUGGAAUGCGUAGAUAUCGGGAAGAACACCAGUGGCGAAAGCGGCUCUCUGGGGACCACCUGACGCUGAGGCGCGAAAGCGUGGGGAGCGAACCGG
This 252-nucleotide ribosomal RNA is filed under the name uncultured bacterium. RNAcentral's name for it is "partial 16S ribosomal RNA". It matches the Rfam family "Bacterial small subunit ribosomal RNA", at positions 524 to 776 of the family's 1533-position model. The record is from RNAcentral.